This 377-nucleotide unclassified non-coding RNA is filed under the name uncultured Parachlamydiaceae bacterium. Its description in RNAcentral is "contains 16S-23S intergenic spacer region". The record is from RNAcentral. Lineage: Bacteria; Pseudomonadati; Chlamydiota; Chlamydiia; Parachlamydiales; Parachlamydiaceae.
UCCUGGUUAACCCAGGCAGUCUCAUUAGAGUUCCCAUCCGAAAUGUUGGCAACUAAUGAUAAGGGUUGCGCUCGUUGCUGGACUUAACCAAACACCUCACGGCACGAGCUGACGACAGCCAUGCAGCACCUGUGCAGCGGUCCCGAAGGAAGGAUCCAUUUCUGGACCUGUCCACUGCAUGUCAAGUCUGGGUAAGGUUCUUCGCGUUGCAUCGAAUUAAACCACAUGCACCACUGCUUGUGCGGGUCCCCGUCAAUUCUUUUGAGUUUCACCCUUGCGAGCGUACUCCCCAGGCGGUAUACUUAACACGUUAGCUACGGCACAGCUAGGGUUGAGCCCAGCUACACCAAGUAUACAUCGUUUACGGCAAGGACUAC